GCACUGACACAUCGCUGCCACAUCUGGUGAGCGGGGCGGGUCCGCUUUCCGGGUGACUCACGUCCUCUUUGUAUGCCUUUUGUUUCUAGGACGCUUUGGCGGCCGUUUUCUUCCUUCUGCUUUUAAUUUGGGGAAGGGAAAAGCUCAUGAAUCAAGAGUGAAUCUCUUCUCCACCAAUCUUUUUUCCCCCUUCUUAAAGUUAGCUCUCUCCCUUCACAAGUUCCCUCCCUUCUUUACGCUGCUGCUUCGCGUUGCUCUGUGACGCCUAAAUCUACCCGGUUACUGCCAUAAGUGCCCGAAUCAGGACGAAUUCCACGAGAUUCACCGGCGGUUUUGUUCCUGUCCAAGGUCGCGCCUCGGAUCCUGCGCGAGGCGCCAACAAAAGAGGCGAGGAGGUGCCACCCGGGGGCGGCUACUGGAAGAGGCACGGAGGAAGAGCGCGGCGCUGAGCGUCCCGACCCGCCGUGCGUACUUUCUGGAGGGAAGGGGCGGGGGACUCGGCCCCGGGAGGGGGACGCCCGGCGGCGAGGGGGUUAGCCAAGUUCCUGCGGCAGCGGCGGCAGCGGCGGCAGCGGCGGCGGCAGCGGCCCUCCUCAGCUUCCACAAGACCAAAGUUUUCUCCAGACGCUUCCGGCCGGCCCGCGCCCUCCGGGCCCAACCUCCCGAACCUUCGGAGCGGGCAGCGUCCCAGCCCAGCU
RNAcentral lists this long non-coding RNA (698 nucleotides) under Phocoena sinus (vaquita). Its description in RNAcentral is "lncRNA (ENSPSNG00000008764.1)". Lineage: Eukaryota; Metazoa; Chordata; Mammalia; Artiodactyla; Phocoenidae. The record is from RNAcentral.